Molecule: ribosomal RNA, 515 nt
Filed under: uncultured bacterium
Lineage: Bacteria
Description: bacterial SSU rRNA
Rfam family: Bacterial small subunit ribosomal RNA
Source: RNAcentral
GACGAACGCUGGCGGCAUGCCUAAUACAUGCAAGUCGAGCGAAUCAAUAGGAGCUUGCUCCUUGAGAUUAGCGGCGGACGGGUGAGUAACACGUGGGCAACCUGCCCUGCAGAUGGGGAUAACUCCGGGAAACCGGGGCUAAUACCGAAUAAUCAGUUCCUUCGCAUGAAGGAACUCUGAAAGACGGUUUCGGCUGUCACUGCAGGAUGGGCCCGCGGCGCAUUAGCUAGUUGGUGGGGUAAUGGCCUACCAAGGCAACGAUGCGUAGCCGACCUGAGAGGGUGAUCGGCCACACUGGGACUGAGACACGGCCCAGACUCCUACGGGAGGCAGCAGUAGGGAAUCUUCCACAAUGGACGAAAGUCUGAUGGAGCAAUGCCGCGUGAGUGAAGAAGGUUUUCGGAUCGUAAAGCUCUGUUGCGAGGGAAGAACACGUACGGGAGUAACUGCCCGUACCUUGACGGUACCUCGUCAGAAAGCCACGGCUAACUACGUGCCAGCAGCCGCAGUAACAC